GAGCAGUUCAGCCCCAGAGCAGCAGUACUGGGCCUGUUUGGAGAGCUGUCUUCCUAGUCCAUCAGUAAUGACUUUGAUAACUGUUGGUUUUGAUUAGCAAGAUAGUUCUUUUGAAACUGUCCAGGCUUGAACACGUUAGCUUAUUUUAUGACUUUUGAUAACAGUAAGCUAUUAAAUGUUGUAAAUACAUGCUUUAGUUUUGAUACUGUGAUGUUUUUUCAAAUGAGUAAACUCACAUCAGGAAGAGAACCCUUUGCUGCAGCUUGGCAUAUUGGCUGUAUGAGGGUAGUGUGAGCUGCAAUAACAAAAGGGCCCUGCAGAUAUUCGUGGCUCAACUCUUAAAGUAAGACAGAGAAAUUUAGUAGUUUGUCGGCUAGGAAAUUAAAGGGUCAGUCUUCCUGUUCAGGCAGUUGGGCUCCAGAACACCUGUUCUUCACCUCUCUGCUCUAUUUCCAUCCAACAUGCCAAGACAACUCUGAAAUAUUAUUUCUUUCCCCCACUUUCUCAUACAUGGGAGGGUCAUCUCCCAUGUUGCUGUGCAUGCUGCAGUGUGCAUCUAACUGGAGACACGGAAGUAGUGGAUACAUCAGACCAGAUAACACAUUAUAAGUUGCUGUAAAACUAGCUUGCCUGGGAGUUUCUGUUGUGACUCAGAGCUGAGCUGCCUCAGGAGGCAGUGGAAGUGUUGAGAGACAGGGAUGGAGGCCACUUGACAGUAACAUCCAAAGAAAAUUCAAGAGCCGAGUCAGAGAAUGGACUAGUGUUCCUGAAAGUCGAAUCACGACCUGGGGAGAUAAAUGCCUGCUGUCUGUCACUCCAGAAAGAUUGAUGGCAUCUGAUCCCCUCCCUGCCCAACGCCUCUUGCCUCACUAGUGACUGACAUCUUCAGCAAAUCACGGGAAGUUCCUUUCUUACAGGAUCAUGGGGGCUAAGACACCUUUUGACAAAAUAAACCAAAUUGUUGCCAUGAAAUCAACAAACCAUUUUCCAAGCUUUGGACAACAUCCUAACUUAGGCAAAGGAACUCUGGAGAUGUUGACGAACCUGGGAAAACAGAUGUCUCCAGCCGACUGGUCAUCAAUGGGAGUCAAGCGGAAGCUUGGGAAAUUCAGGUGCCGUGGUUCUUUGCUUGGGGAUCCUCAGCCCGGGCUCAGCUUGGAGUAUUUCCUGGUGACAGGAAGAGUGGAGACAAAUAAGAAAAGUGAAUUCUCAAGCUUGGAGCGGUCAGCAGAGUCAAAGCAUCUUUGCUGACUACACCUGGGAAUUGCUGUAAAACCAAAGGAGGCAAUUCUUGCUGAGUGUCCAAAUCAGAAACCUAUAGAAAGUUUAUAAGGAAGCUAUUUUUGUUUUGUUUUUUGUUUUUUGUUCUUUCCUGUUACAGCAGGCUUGCAUAAUUGAAAAGCUCUUUGGUCUUGAAACUGAGGGUUUUAUUCUAGAAUUAGAAAUGUUAGAAAAAUCACAUAGUCUAAUCUUCCCUUCCCAGUUUAUAGGUGAGAAAACUAAAGUCUGGAGAGGUUAGGGAACUUGCCCAAGUCUACUCGGUGUUAGUAACUGAUUCAGAACCAUAACCUGUUCUCUGGUCUCACCAAGUGUUUCUACCUCAAACUGCUGUCUUCGGUAUUUAUUUAGAAUUUAUUCAAAUAUAUUCUGUGCUCCCUCAUCACCAGGUGUUUAUAUAAAAUUAACCUUUUCUUUCAAAACAAUUUUAGACAUAGAUAGAAGUUAUAGAAAUAGCACAGUGUUUUCAUAAUACUUCACCUGGCUUCCUUAUAAUAACAUCUAACAUAACGAUAGCCCCUUUCAGAGUUCCCAUCGUGGCUCAGCAAUAAUGGACCCAACUAGCAUCCAUGAGGAUGCAGGUUUGAUCCCUGGCCUUGCUUGGUGGGUUAAGGAUCUGGCAUUUCUGUGGCUGUGGUGUAGGCCAGCAGCUACAACUCUGAUUCGACCCCCAGCCUGGGAACCUUUAUAUGCUGUGGGUACAGCCAUAAAAAGAAAAAAAAAAUGAUAGCACUGUUGUCAAAACCAGGAAAUUGACAUAGCAGAACACUAUUAACUACAGAUCUUAAUUGCAGUUUUACUAGUUCUGAUAGGUACUCUCUUAAAAAAAUUUAAUGUGUGUUUUAUGAGAUUUUACCACGCUUGCAUAACCACCAACACAAGCAGGACAGGGAACUGUUUGAUUAUCCCUGAAAAGUUCCUUGACCCCUCCCUCCAAGCUUUUUGUUUGUUUUUGUAAUGUUUUGUGUUUUGA
Molecule: long non-coding RNA, 2251 nt
Filed under: Sus scrofa (pig)
Lineage: Eukaryota; Metazoa; Chordata; Mammalia; Artiodactyla; Suidae
Description: lncRNA (ENSSSCG00025000253.1)
Source: RNAcentral